RNAcentral lists this ribosomal RNA (486 nucleotides) under uncultured bacterium. RNAcentral describes it as "bacterial SSU rRNA". It matches the Rfam family "Bacterial small subunit ribosomal RNA", at positions 33 to 507 of the family's 1533-position model. The record is from RNAcentral.
GACGACGCUGGCGGCGUGCUUAAUACAUGCAAGUCGAGCGAGGUUACUGUUUUGGAUCCCUUCGGGGUGAAGAAGCUUUAACCUAGCGGCGGACGGGUGAGUAACGCGUGGGUAACCUACCCCAAAGUCCGGGAUAACAGCGGGAAACCGCUGCUAAUACCGGAUGCCUUUACCUUGGGGCAUCUUGAGGUAAAGAAAGGUAACGCUUUGGGAUGGGCCCGCGUCCCAUUAGCUAGUUGGUGAGGUAACGGCUCACCAAGGCGGCGAUGGGUAGCCGGCCUGAGAGGGUGGACGGCCACACUGGGACUGAGACACGGCCCAGACUCCUACGGGAGGCAGCAGUAGGGAAUAUUGCGCAAUGGACGGAAGUCUGACGCAGCGACGCCGCGUGAGCGAUGAAGGUCUUCGGAUCGUAAAGCUCUGUCCUUGGGGAAGAAGGCGAAAGCUUGACGGUACCCAAGAAGAAACGCCCCGGCUAACUACGUG